This 424-nucleotide ribosomal RNA is filed under the name uncultured bacterium. RNAcentral describes it as "bacterial SSU rRNA". It matches the Rfam family "Bacterial small subunit ribosomal RNA", at positions 29 to 446 of the family's 1533-position model. The record is from RNAcentral.
AUUGAACGCUGGCGGCAUGCCUAACACAUGCAAGUCGAACGGCAGCACAGUGCGUAGCAAUACGUAUGGGUGGCGAGUGGCGGACGGGUGAGGAAUGCAUCGGAAUCUACCCAGUAGCGGGGGAUAACCUGGGGAAACUCAGGCUAAUACCGCAUACGACCUAUGGGUGAAAGCGGGGGACCGUAAGGCCUCGCACUAUUGGAUGAGCCGAUGCCGGAUUAGCUAGUUGGUAGGGUAACGGCCUACCAAGGCGACGAUCCGUAGCUGGUCUGAGAGGACGAUCAGCCACACCGGAACUGAGACACGGUCCGGACUCCUACGGGAGGCAGCAGUGGGGAAUAUUGGACAAUGGGGGAAACCCUGAUCCAGCAAUGCCGCGUGUGUGAAGAAGGCCUGCGGGUUGUAAAGCACUUUCGGAGGGGAC